GUGUUUUUGCCCCUUGUGGUCUGUACGGAAACGGAAGUAGCUGUCUCCUCUGACCCCUUUCCUUAAGCUUUUGCUUCCGGGGUCGGAAAGUUCUUAAAGGAAAAUGUAUAGUUUCGUGAGCUUUAAGCGUUUAAGGUGCUGAAGUUUAGACGAGGAGAGCUUAGGAGGUUUACGCCAGCUGUGUGAACAGUGAAAUGAUGAGUUGGUGGAAUCCAUUACUGAGUGUUUUCCAUGUGCCGAUCCUGUAAAACAUAUGAACAAAACCACCUUUGCCAUAAAGCGUUUACGUUCUACUAGAGAGAAAAUAAAAUGAGCUCACAAAUAGUGUAGUAACUAUUAACUAAUGCACGGUAUGGGAAAAAAUAGAACAGAAUAAAAGAAGAUGAGGAGAGGCUAGAGGGGCAGAUUGCACCUUUUAAAUAGAAUUCACAGAGUAGACUUCAUUGGAAAAGUUCCAUUGAGCAGAGAUGUUAAGGAGGCAAUGGGGUAAACCAUGCAGUUGAGGGGUUGGGGGACAGAGCUGGUAAUCUGAGAAAAGUUGGUUAUCUGGGAGAAGAGAUGUCCAGGCAAAGGAAACAUACAGCUAGCUCCAAGGCUCCUAGUCAGUAGCAAGCCUGGCAUGUUCAGGAAACACCGUGGAAGCCAGGAGUCAAAUGAGAAAGGAGAAAAGUAAGGGCAGGCGGGGGUGGGGGUGGGAUUAGGUAUGACAGAUUGUGUAGGUUUUUGUAAGGACUUUGGCUUUUACGUGAGAUGCAGGUUUCUUGGAGGAUUUUGAGAAAAGGAAUAGCGUGACCUGACUUAUGUUUUGAAAGCAUCACUCAGACUCUUCUUUUGAGAAUAGACUACAGGGGAGGGAAAGUGAAUGGAGGGGAGAAGUGAAUGUCUUCAACCAGGGUGGUUCUAGUGGAGGUGGUAAAAUGUGAUGAGAUUCUUUUGGAAGGUAGAGUUCCGAACGAUUGAAUAAAAAGCAUGAGAGAAAGAAGAGUCAAGGAUGACGCCAAGAUUUUUGAACUAAGUGCCUAGAAGGAUGGAGUUACUAUCAGUUGAGAUGGGAAAGGCUUCAGGUGGAGCAAAUUUGAAGGGUCUAAGAGAGUAAGCUAAGCAUUGUGGAGAAAAACAAAGACAUCAUGUUUGCCCUCAAGUAGCUUCAGUUUAGAAGAAGAUGAAGCACAAUUGUAGUGCCCAUAGAGCUGACUUGAAGUAUGAUCCAUGGAUCAGCAGCAAUGGCAACAUCUGGAAGCUUGAUGGAAAUGCAGAAUCUCGGGGUCCACACCCAGACCAACUGAAAGAUUCCCAGUGUAUGUCCAGGAACAAAGCACCUGACAGUGCAAUGUGGAUCCUUAAAAAGAGGCAGAAGCAUGAAGUUUGAAGCAGUGAAUAUAUUUCUUGUGUGCCUUCUCAUUGCUGGCUGCUGUGUUAGGUGUCAGGAAUACAAAGAGCACUGUGGCUGCAGUAUGGGGAGGGCCGAGAGUGCUGGAAGCAGAGAGGAGUCUCUGGGACUGAUUGUGGAGCCAAGUGACUGAAGGGACUGAAUUCAGUGGAGAUAUAAACAGGAAACUUGGAGCUUUGCCGCAAGGAGAAAGUGGAAACAAAGAAGAAGGAAUAGGUACCAAAAGGAGAAAAGGCCAAUAAAGGGAACUGGAGAGAAGAGUGAAAACUUGAAAGAGAAAGAACCAAAACUCUUGAAAUAUU
Camelus dromedarius (Arabian camel) is the source of this 1692-nucleotide long non-coding RNA. RefSeq lists it as uncharacterized. NCBI's taxonomy places the organism in Eukaryota, Metazoa, Chordata, Mammalia, Artiodactyla, Camelidae. The record is from RefSeq and is a predicted model, not a curated record. The transcript is spliced from 7 exons.